This 108-nucleotide long non-coding RNA is filed under the name Felis catus (domestic cat). Its description in RNAcentral is "lncRNA (ENSFCAG00000040848.2)". Lineage: Eukaryota; Metazoa; Chordata; Mammalia; Carnivora; Felidae. The record is from RNAcentral.
CCUCUGUUCCUUGAUUUAUAGGUUAUUUCGUGCUUCCUCUCUUCCACACGAUCAAGAUCUUCAAAGUCCCCCAGAGCCUCAGAAAACUGAGGGCAGCCCGUGUCAAGG